Coregonus clupeaformis (lake whitefish) is the source of this 2244-nucleotide long non-coding RNA. RefSeq lists it as uncharacterized. The record is from RefSeq and is a predicted model, not a curated record. NCBI's taxonomy places the organism in Eukaryota, Metazoa, Chordata, Actinopteri, Salmoniformes, Salmonidae. The transcript has 2 exons.
UAUUAACUACCAGGUAGAAAUGAAAAACAGAAGUGUUUCGGCCCUCCAGGACCGGAAUUGAAGAACCCUGCUCUAAACCGCUCCGGGGACAAACAAACUCUGCUUCCUUGUUUACAAUCGUCCACAUGGCUGGGAGAACCUAUUCAAGUAAAGUUAAGUAAAUGCAUUUCGAAAAUGGAAAAAAAACGAUAUAUUAUUAGCUAACUAGCUACAGUGCAGGCUAACUCAAAUGAGCUGCUAACGUAACGUUAGUUAGCUAGCUAACUAGCCAACUUGACAUGCUAUAUAGCUAGCUAGCUAAGUGAAUUAAAUACCACCAGCUACCUAACUUUAUUAGCUAGCUAUCUUGAUGUAAUUAUCAUUGUAAAAAACAAACUCCAAAUGCAUUUGUAGGUAACGUUAGCUAGCUAACUGCCAUGGAGGAGGGUGAACGGAUAGCAGCCGCAACUGUCAAAGUGAGAGAGUAGGGUGUUCUGGAUAGGGCAGGUACUUUUGUAUAGUUCCAGUCCAUAGAAGUGAGGACGGAGAUAAUAGUAACAUAAUAUUCAGUGCUGUGUAAUUUGAAUAUAAUGAAGUCAGUUUCUUGUGAGGUUUUCUGUCCUCAGAUACAGAGAGCUGUGAAAGCUUGUCUGCAGAUGAAGAGGUCCCAAUGAAGAGCAGUGGUUCUCAGUCCUGGUCCUGGGGACUCAAAGGGGUGCACAUUGUUGUUUUUGCCUUAGUGCUACACAGCUGUUUUAAAAUGAUCAACUCAUCAUCAAGCUUCAAGUUAUAUUUAUGUAUUCAUUUGUGAUGCUAUCCUUGAUAUGAUCCUGCUGUUGUCACAUGCUACACAUGCAUCUAUCUAUCCAAUGUUAUCAUGAUUUGUUAUUAGGGAUAUUAUACUUUAGUAAUCCACAAUGACCUGGUAAUGUAAAAGUCUAAUAAUGACAUUAUCUUCCAUAUUCCUACAGAUACCUUGUAACUGGAGAUUCCUUUAAAACGAUUGCCUACAGUUACUGUGUAGGGCACUGCAAGGUUGGGUGACCAGGGCCAUCUGGGACUGCCUCCUGGGGGGAAUUCAGGCGUGUGAAGGCUACCUGUGUCCUGCAUAACUUCAUGGACCAGGAGGGAACCUGCAGCUCGCCGCCAUGUGCCAGAGGAGAGGUCUGCUGCUCUGCAGGAUGUUUCAAGGAUGGGGGCCAACAACACAGCGCGGGAGGUAAUCCGUGUGCGGGAGAUCUUUCCCUCCUACUUCUUUCGAAGAGGGUGCUGUUCCCUGACAACACCAUAGACUACACUAUGCACAACCAAAGGCUCUUUUAAGAGCCAUCCACAUGGCAAUAAGAGUAUUCUUCCAUUUACUUAGCUAUGUCAACUGUAGUUAUUCAAUUCCCAGUUUCUUUCCCUUUGAUUUCUACUUCUCAGGUGAGGGUGCUGUUCAGGUAAGGGUGAUAUAACCCACACCUACACACUCGUGUAUCAAUCUGGUUGAUGGAUUGUCAUGUGCAGUAAGCAGGCUCAGGUGUAUAACUGUGGCUCCUUCCACCUUCAAAGAAUAGGCAAGAGGACCAACCAUGGCGAAUAGUAAGACACUUCAUUAUUUCUAUUUAUAUAACUACGCUAUAUUGUUUGUCCUCGUGUGUCUGCAUGUUUUUCAGUAUAAAGUACUCUGCAGCCACUUAGUGUGGACACCAGGUGAGGCACAGAGAUUCCUGUUGAACACUGUCUCUUUAACUACCUUAUUUUCUCCAUAACAGUCUCUCUCCUUCACUUCAUCCGUCUUCUCCCUAAAUCCUCUAGGUUAUAUCAGCUGUGUCGGUGAACCCCUCCCACAUCUGAACUGGCUACAUAUAGGGCACAGCAUGAUCAGAGGUGUGUUUUGAUGUGAAAGAGGAUGCCAACCCCCAGUCCUGUCAUCGCCACCUCAACCGCUCUUGGGCCAACUGGGGGUCCAAGGCUGGUUAAGAGACAUUUAUGUAAUUGUGAUGAAUUGAGAGAAUAUGAAGUUUAGUAGCACUGUAAUUCAUUAAUCAUAUGCUGCCUUCCCUGCUCCUCCAUUCUUACCGCUUUCCCUUUCUGUCUUUUACACUCGUUCUCACACCUCUCUACCCACCUCCUCUUUCUUCCUCUGUUUUUAUAAUGCACACCAGAUGUGCACUGAAGUACAGAUUGAACUUGUAUUUAAAUUAUAAUAUUUAUAAUGCAUGUAUUAUAUAUUUAUAACACUUGGAUAAUUAACUUCUAUCAAUAAAGCGGUUCACAUUC